UCCGUCGCCACAUCCCUCUCCCGCCCCUCAGUUCCCUGAGUGUGGCUUCUACGGCCUUUACGACAAGAUCCUGCUUUUCAAACAUGACCCCACGUCGGCCAACCUCCUGCAGCUGGUGCGCUCGUCCGGAGACAUCCAGGAGGGCGACCUGGUGGAGGUGGUGCUGUCGGCCUCGGCCACCUUCGAGGACUUCCAGAUCCGCCCGCACGCCCUCACGGUGCACUCCUAUCGGGCGCCUGCCUUCUGUGAUCACUGCGGGGAGAUGCUCUUCGGCCUAGUGCGCCAGGGCCUCAAGUGCGAUGGUGAGAGCUAAAGGGUUGGGGGCGGGGCCUGGGGCGGGGCUCUGCACCGGGGGCGGAGCGUAAUGGUCCUGGCACGGGGACAGCGUGGGGAGGAGGAGCGGGUCUCAGAGCUGGGGGCGCAGCCUAGGAAGUAAUAAUGGGAAGAAGGAUGGGCCCAGAAGCAGAGCUUGGGGAAGGAGUGGUGGGGCUGGGCCGGGGCUCAGGUCUAGGGGCGGAGCCUAGGAGGUGGAGCUGGGAGGGACAAGUAGGGGCUUAAGAACAGAGCCUAGGGGAGCAGAAGGGUGGCGGGGGAAGAGGGUGGGGCCUCUAUCAGUUAGGGAUCAAGCAGAGAAACAUCCAGGAGGAGAUAUAUAUUGAGAUAUUUAUAUGCAAGGAAUCAGCUUACAGAAUUGUGUGGGCUGGCUAGGCAACUCAAAUCUGGCUGGGCACAGUGGGGGAGGCCAGUAAUCCCAGCACUUUGGGAGGCAAAGGUAGGUGGAUCACUUGAGGCCAGGAGUUCAAGACCAGCCUGGGCAACAUAGCAAGACUCUGCCUGUACAAAAAAUAAUUAGCC
RNAcentral lists this long non-coding RNA (855 nucleotides) under Homo sapiens (human). RNAcentral's name for it is "non-protein coding lnc-STRN4-2:1". Lineage: Eukaryota; Metazoa; Chordata; Mammalia; Primates; Hominidae. The record is from RNAcentral.